Molecule: ribosomal RNA, 252 nt
Filed under: uncultured Lactobacillus sp.
Lineage: Bacteria; Bacillati; Bacillota; Bacilli; Lactobacillales; Lactobacillaceae
Description: partial 16S ribosomal RNA
Rfam family: Bacterial small subunit ribosomal RNA
Source: RNAcentral
UAACACGUGGGGAACCUGCCCCAUAGUCUGGGAUACCACUUGGAAACAGGUGCUAAUACCGGAUAAGAAAGCAGAUCGCAUGAUCAGCUUUUAAAAGGCGGCGUAAGCUGUCGCUAUGGGAUGGCCCCGCGGUGCAUUAGUUAGUUGGUAAGGUAAAGGCUUACCAAGGCGAUGAUGCAUAGCCGAGUUGAGAGACUGAUCGGCCACAUUGGGACUGAGACACGGCCCAAACUCCUACGGGAGGCAGCAGAC